CAAGCGCCCUAACCUCUGGCUGCCUAGAAAGAUGACGUAAGGCGCGUGCCCCGCCAAUCGCGGAGUGCUCCGGCCCCGCCCGGUGCAUUGUGGAGCUUAGAGACCCACACUGGGUCUCGCGAGAGAGCCAGACGGGAAUCACGGAGACAAAGGCCGACAGAGAUGUCGCCUUCCCUUCUCAGAGUAGGCGGUCCUGGCGGGAGUGCACCAAUCACAACGCCUCUUCUUCCCGCCCGUGGGGAUUGGUCCAGGGCUCACGUGAGUCGGCUGAGAGUCAUGUGAUGGCGCUGCCCCAGAGUCUGUAAUGAAGCCGGUGGCUUGCGGUAAAACCCGGAUUUGAAGAAGCCGCGAGCUUCCAGAGGGCAGGGCGCGUUCGGUCCCUUGCCUAGGAAAGGACCCGACGAAUGUGUCACGCGACUUCCCCUCGGACGCAGAGACGCUCCAAACGCUAUUCAGGGUUGGGUCGCUGAGCCCGGCAGAGCCCCUGCCUAGGCUGCCUUCGGCCCUGUCGUACCUGGGGGGAGGGUAGGCCCGUGUCCGCUCGGUGUGGCCGCCUUGUUACCUCUGCGACAGCGGUGAGGGCUCACAGGUGACUGCGGGGCCCCAGCCGAGGAGAGACGGUGGGGACGCACAGCCUGGAAGUGGGGAAUCGGGUGGACCAGCACCUUCUGAAGCCAGGUGGAGCCCACUUCCGUGCACAGCGAGUCACUGUUUCCUACGCAAGCUUUGGUGGCCCUGGACGACCACCCCUGUGCGUCCCAGGCUCCCAUGCCCCGUCGGCAGAAAUGCCAGGCCCCUUAAGCUUCUUGCACCAGAGCCAGCAAAAGAAGUGCAGGAGAGAGGAAUCAGGAAGCCAUAAGCGUGGGAGGAAGAGAAAUGGGCCCGGGCCUAAAAAGAAAUGGCUGUCCACAUUAGAUAAAAGAGGCAGAAAUCCCUGCCUUCACAGAACCUGCCUUUAGUGUCUGGAGAUGAGAAGCAAGAUGAAUAAAACCCACUCUUGGGCCAAGGAGGUAGAUCAGUGGUAGGGCACUUGCCUGAUAUUCGCAGGGCCCUGGGUUCAAUCUCUAGUGCCAAGGAAAUCAAAACAAAAACCCUGUAAUAUCUUGGAACGUAGUGGUACAGAGAAAAACUAAACCUAGGGACCUGUAGGAAGGGUGUGAGGAUGGGUGUCCUUUAUGUAGGGCCUUCUUAUGGGGCUGGGGAUGGAGGUCAGUCGUACAGUGUCUGCCUAGCAAGUACGAGACCCUAGGCUCGAUCCCAGUACUGCCAAAAAAAAGAACAGAGGUGAGGGACAGUACUGCCAGCAGAGGGCGUGGCAGGUGCCCAGGGCCCUGGGCUGGGAAAGACCUGCAGGGCAGUGAGCGUGGGCGAUGCUAGCGGGUUGCCACCAAAGGAGGCCAUGGCAGGGUCCGCAAAGGGGCGUGGUCAGCCCUACUUGGUAACCGGCACCGUGUGCUGUUGGCCAGAGCACUGAGGACAGUGAGUGGACCACUUCGAUCAUGCACUUAGGAGGUGAGGGUAACCUGAACCCCAGUGGUGGCCGUGCAGAGAGAAGCAGUCAGAUCGCAGAGGCAUCCUGAAGGGAGGAUUACAGAGCUGUCUGGUUGGCUGGAAGCCUGUCUUCCCCUUCGUAGGGUCACCUCCACCUCAUUUCCGCUUCAAGCAUCCAGUCCACAGAGGGACAAGAGCUCAAUCUCAGCCCAUCUGGGAUCCCCUGCAGUGGCUGCUGCCAUGUCAUGGGGGGUGGGGAAUCUGGUCCCCUGUACUCCUGUCACCUAUGCUGGCACCCGCAGAGUCUGACCUCAGCACACACAGCAUGUCCUGCUGAAAUGGCACUGGAGGGCAGGCAGACCAAGGAAGAGAGCGGCACUCAGAGAACUGAAGGCGCUGUGCUGAGCGGGCACUGUCCGCAGACCUCAAGCCCCACAGGCUCUGCCACUAAAGCACUGGCACCAGACGGCUCUUCAGAUUUGUGCCUGGCCCCAGCCCCAGAGUCACAGCCUCGGAGGCAGGGGAGCCCUGCAGUGAGGACCUCGGUGGCCCCAAGCUCAUCUGCCCUCAGCAGCCGGUUUCCAGUGCAGGCCGCACCAGCUAGACACCAGGCCAUGAUUUCACAUGGGGAACAGAGUGCAGAGAAGUCAAAUAGUACUGGAGAUCGAACUCAGGACCUUGCACAUGUGAGGUAGGCAUGCGCCACUGUAGCGCUGCGGGGUGGCCUGCCUCCCCCUGUGGGGAGAUUUGCAUCCUGGUCCCAUUUACGUCAUUCUCGGCCCCGUGAGAAAACAGGCAAGUGACACGCAUCACCUUUAAGCAGAAGCCCAAGGGCAAUCAAGGCUCUGCACGGCCCAGCUCCGGCGACCACAGCAAAGCUCCAGCCCGCCCUUCAGGAAGAUGCAGCGGCCCAAACAGUGCCCCCUCCAGUCAGGGCCGCUGAACCAGAGCUGCGGGGUCUCCGCAGGGCGACCUCGCCUGCACCCCGAGGCAGUGACCUUUGUGUUCUGCCAGGUGGGGGCUGGAGUUUGCAGCACUCGGUUCUGCCACUUAGGGUGCAAACAUGGCAUCGGAACCUCCGCCUGGCCGCGACACGUGGCGUGCGAAGAGGACACAGGGCAGAACGCAGCGGCGAAGGAGGCCGGAUCCACCCAAAAGUGCGGGACUCAGGUAGAGCUGGCACCCCUGAGGGCGUGGUCUUGAGGCCACAGUGAAAUCCUGCUGUCCACACCUGUGGUUCCGCAGCCACCACCAGAGACCCCUGGGCUGAGGCUGAGUUUGCAGCCCCUCUCAUUCCGCGAGACCGCAGUAGAGAAGGAAGUGCAGGGCACACCUCCAGGCACCGCCAUUGGCACUAGAGCGCUCACAGAGGUACUGGCAAGUUCUCUUCUCUGUCCCCCUCAGACACAGCUUUGGCCCUUCUUUUUAUGAAGAACACAAUGAGUAACACACACACACAUGCACACACGAGCACGUGUGUGUGUAGUAGGGGGACUGAACCCAGGGCCUGUGCACUAAGCUGCCUCAGACUCCUAGCGUGUGGGGUUAGAGGUGUGUGGCACCACACCUGGCACAUCUGUCACUCUAAUCUGUCUGAAGUGGUCGACCCGACGGCCCCAGGAAGUCUUGGGCGGCUCCAUCUCCUGGCAGAGGGAGCCCUGUCUUCCGCCUUUACACAGCGAGGACUCGGCAUGGUGGGAGGGCCUGGUGGAGGAGAGCUGCUCACAUCUUGGUGACCAGGAAGCAGAGAAGGGAGCACUGGGACAGCGUCACCACUCUCCUAGGGCUGCCACAGCAGAGGACCGUGAACUCUGUGGCUGAGACUCGGGGAGCAGCCUCUCCCCAGCCUCCUCCUAGCUGCCAGGAAUCCGGGGGCGAGACAGAACCUUCUGGACCCAAGAGAGAGCCUGCCCUGUGCCUCUCCUUAUGGGCACCUGAUGGCUCCUGGCCACAUGUGGCCUCCUUGGCUGGUGGACGCAUUUCCCCUGUCUCUGUCUGUUGUCACAAGGCCUUCUUCCCGUGGACAUUUAUGUGUCUGGGUCCAGAUUUCCCUCUUCUUUUUGGUGUUUUGAGGCAGGUCUCACCAUGUAGGCCAGGCUGGCCUUGAACUCACAGAGAUCCUAUUGGAUUUAGGGCUCAUCCUAAUUCAGAGUGGUCUCAACUCGGUUUCAUCCACAAAGACUUAAUUUCCCAAUAAGGCCACAUUCACAGACCUGGCAGGCCUUCAGCAUGUUUUGAGGGAAGAAAAUUCGUUUCAUGGUGUCUUCCCAAAAGAGUUAGAGACAUCAUGUUACAGUGACCCAAGGACACGGUGUUUAUAGCAGCACGACUCAUCAUAGCUAAAUCUUGGAAGCAGUCUAUAAGCUCAUCAACGGAUGAAGAAAAUGUGGUAUUUACAGACAAUGGAGUACUACUCUGCCAUAAAGAAGGAUAGACGAGUCAUUUGUAGGACAAUGGGUGCAUCUUGAGACUGGAAUGUUGUGACACAAGUCAGACACACAUGGCUGACUAAAUAUCACAUGGCUUCUCUUAUAUAAGAAACCCAGAGUAAAAAUAAAGACCAAAUAAAAAACAUGAAAGAAAGGAAGCAGGUCUUUCUCAGAGGGAAAGGGCUUCAAGAGGUGGAGGAGGAGGGAGGGAAGGGAUAAGGACCACCAAGGAACGGAAACGUUAUUUGCUACAAACACGGACCCAAAAAGGGAGAGGAGGAAGGGGUGGGGGGAGGGAAGGGAAGGAGGUGAAGAAGAAAUGCCCGUAGGAAACAUGUACUAAUUAACAUUUAAAAACCAAUCCGUCGGUCAGUAAAAGGGCACAGACAGGUACCGGGAGUGGCCACACUACUAUCAUUGACAGCAAGUGCCUCCACGAGAAGUGGAGACAGUGACCUGCGGCCAAGCUCCAGCUUGCAGCGGU
Long non-coding RNA from Heterocephalus glaber (naked mole-rat), 4404 nucleotides. The record is from Ensembl. NCBI's taxonomy places the organism in Eukaryota, Metazoa, Chordata, Mammalia, Rodentia, Bathyergidae.